This is a long non-coding RNA of Oncorhynchus keta (chum salmon), 525 nucleotides long. RefSeq lists it as uncharacterized. The record is from RefSeq and is a predicted model, not a curated record. The transcript is spliced from 3 exons. NCBI's taxonomy places the organism in Eukaryota, Metazoa, Chordata, Actinopteri, Salmoniformes, Salmonidae.
GUAAGGUCUACUACACCUGUUGUAUUCAGCAUUUCACUGUGAGGUCUAACUACACCUGUUGUAUUCAGCAUUUCACUGUAAGGUCUACUACACCUGUUGUAUUCAGCAUUUCACUGUAAGGUCUACUACACCUGUUGUAUUCAGCAUUUCACUGUAAGGUCUACUACACCUGUUGUAUUCAGCAUUUCACUGUAAGGUCUACUACACCUAUUGUAUUCAGCAUUUCACUGUAAGGUCUACUACACCUGUUGUAUUCAGCAUUUCACUGUAAGGUCUACUACACCUGUUGUAUUCAGCAUUUCACUGUAAGGUCUACUACACCUAUUGUAUUCAGCAUUUCACUGUAAGGUCUACUACACCUGUUGUAUUCAGCAUUUCACUGUAAGGUCUACUACACCUAUUGUAUUCAGCAUUUCACUGUAAGGUCUACUACACCUGUUGUAUUCAGCAUUUCACUGUAAGGUCUACUACACCUGUUGUAUUCAGCAUUUCACUGUAAGGUCUACUACACCUGUUGUAUUCAGC